RNAcentral lists this small RNA (30 nucleotides) under Arabidopsis thaliana (thale cress). RNAcentral describes it as "ATSL302960". The record is from RNAcentral. Lineage: Eukaryota; Viridiplantae; Streptophyta; Magnoliopsida; Brassicales; Brassicaceae.
AUAAGGAAUCACAAACUCUGCAUGCGUCGC